AGAGUUUGAUCAUGGCUCAGAUUGAACGCUGGCGGCAGGCCUAACACAUGCAAGUCGAACGGUAACAGGAAGCAGCUUGCUGCUUUGCUGACGAGUGGCGGACGGGUGAGUAAUGUCUGGGAAACUGCCUGAUGGAGGGGGAUAACUACUGGAAACGGUGGCUAAUACCGCAUAACGUCGCAAGACCAAAGAGGGGGACCUUCGGGCCUCUUGCCAUCAGAUGUGCCCAGAUGGGAUUAGCUUGUUGGUGAGGUAACGGCUCACCAAGGCGACGAUCCCUAGCUGGUCUGAGAGGAUGACCAGCCACACUGGAACUGAGACACGGUCCAGACUCCUACGGGAGGCAGCAGUGGGGAAUAUUGCACAAUGGGCGCAAGCCUGAUGCAGCCAUGCCGCGUGUAUGAAGAAGGCCUUCGGGUUGUAAAGUACUUUCAGCGGGGAGGAAGGUGUUGUGGUUAAUAACCGCAGCAAUUGACGUUACCCGCAGAAGAAGCACCGGCUAACUCCGUGCCAGCAGCCGCGGUAAUACGGAGGGUGCAAGCGUUAAUCGGAAUUACUGGGCGUAAAGCGCACGCAGGCGGUCUGUCAAGUCGGAUGUGAAAUCCCCGGGCUCAACCUGGGAACUGCAUUCGAAACUGGCAGGCUUGAGUCUUGUAGAGGGGGGUAGAAUUCCAGGUGUAGCGGUGAAAUGCGUAGAGAUCUGGAGGAAUACCGGUGGCGAAGGCGGCCCCCUGGACAAAGACUGACGCUCAGGUGCGAAAGCGUGGGGAGCAAACAGGAUUAGAUACCCUGGUAGUCCACGCCGUAAACGAUGUCUACUUGGAGGUUGUGCCCUUGAGGCGUGGCUUCCGGAGCUAACGCGUUAAGUAGACCGCCUGGGGAGUACGGCCGCAAGGUUAAAACUCAAAUGAAUUGACGGGGGCCCGCACAAGCGGUGGAGCAUGUGGUUUAAUUCGAUGCAACGCGAAGAACCUUACCUGGUCUUGACAUCCACAGAAGAAUCCAGAGAUGGAUUGGUGCCUUCGGGAACCGUGAGACAGGUGCUGCAUGGCUGUCGUCAGCUCGUGUUGUGAAAUGUUGGGUUAAGUCCCGCAACGAGCGCAACCCUUAUCCUUUGUUGCCAGCGGUUAGGCCGGGAACUCAAAGGAGACUGCCAGUGAUAAACUGGAGGAAGGUGGGGAUGACGUCAAGUCAUCAUGGCCCUUACGACCAGGGCUACACACGUGCUACAAUGGCGCAUACAAAGAGAAGCGACCUCGCGAGAGCAAGCGGACCUCAUAAAGUGCGUCGUAGUCCGGAUUGGAGUCUGCAACUCGACUCCAUGAAGUCGGAAUCGCUAGUAAUCGUGGAUCAGAAUGCCACGGUGAAUACGUUCCCGGGCCUUGUACACACCGCCCGUCACACCAUGGGAGUGGGUUGCAAAAGAAGUAGGUAGCUUAACCUUCGGGAGGGCGCUUACCACUUUGUGAUUCAUGACUGGGGUGAAGUCGUAACAAGGUAACCGUAGGGGAACCUGCGGUUG
This 1522-nucleotide ribosomal RNA is filed under the name Salmonella enterica subsp. enterica serovar Heidelberg. Its description in RNAcentral is "bacterial SSU rRNA". It matches the Rfam family "Bacterial small subunit ribosomal RNA". The record is from RNAcentral. Lineage: Bacteria; Pseudomonadati; Pseudomonadota; Gammaproteobacteria; Enterobacterales; Enterobacteriaceae.